AUUCUUGUGGUGUAGUGGUAUAGCAUGCGUUCUCCGGAUAGGAUGAAACGCGGGUUCGAUUUCCGCCUGAGAACG
This is a non-coding RNA of Parelaphostrongylus tenuis, 75 nucleotides long. The record is from the annotation of a GenBank genome assembly. Lineage: Eukaryota; Metazoa; Nematoda; Chromadorea; Rhabditida; Metastrongylidae.